AUUGAACGCUGGCGGCAUGCCUUACACAUGCAAGUCGAACGGCAGCACGGGAGCAAUCCUGGUGGCGAGUGGCGAACGGGUGAGUAAUAUAUCGGAACGUGCCCAGUCGUGGGGAUAACGUAGCGAAAGCUACGCUAAUACCGCAUACGAUCUAUGGAUGAAAGCGGGGGAUCGCAAGACCUCGCGCGAUUGGAGCGGCCGAUAUCAGAUUAGGUAGUUGGUGAGGUAAAGGCUCGCCAAGCCGACGAUCUGUAGCUGGUCUGAGAGGACGACCAGCCACACUGGGACUGAGACACGGCCCAGACUCCUACGGAGGCAGCAGUGGGGAAUUUUGGGACAAUGGGCGCAAGCCUGAUCCAGCAAU
RNAcentral lists this ribosomal RNA (364 nucleotides) under uncultured bacterium. RNAcentral's name for it is "bacterial SSU rRNA". It matches the Rfam family "Bacterial small subunit ribosomal RNA", at positions 30 to 395 of the family's 1533-position model. The record is from RNAcentral.